AGGGUUUGAUCCUGGCUCAGAACGUACGCUGGCGGCACGCCUAACACAUGCAAGUCGAACGAAGUAGCAAUACUUAGUGGCAGACGGGUGAGUAACAUGUAGGUAUCUGCCCUUUGGCCUGGAAUAACACGAGGAAACUUGUGCUAAUACUGGAUAAGUCUUUACGGAGAAAGCUUUAUGCACCAUUGGAUGAGCCUGCACUUGAUUAGUUUGUUGGUAGGGUAAUGGCCUACCAAGACUUUGAUCAAUAGCUGAUUUGAGAGGAUGAUCAGCCACAUUGGGACUGAGACACGGCCCAAACUCCUACGGGAGGCAGCAGUGGGGAAUCUUGCACAAUGGAGGAAACUCUGAUGCAGCGAUGCCGCGUGAGUGAAGAAGGCCCUUGGGUUGUAAAGCUCUUUCGUCGGGGAAGAAAAUGACUGUACCCGAAUAAGAAGGUCCGGCUAACUUCGUGCCAGCAGCCGCGGUAAUACGAAGGGACCUAGCGUAGUUCGGAAUUACUGGGCUUAAAGAGUUCGUAGGUGGUUGAAAAAGUUGGUGGUGAAAUCCCAGAGCUUAACUCUGGAACUGCCAUCAAAACUUUUCAGCUAGAGUUGAUAGAGGAAAGCAGAAUUUCUAGUGUAGAGGUGAAAUUCGUAGAUAUUAGAAAGAAUACCAAUUGCGAAGGCAGCUUUCUGGAUCAUUACUGACACUGAGGAACGAAAGCAUGGGUAGCGAAGAGGAUUAGAUACCCUCGUAGUCCAUGCCGUAAACGAUGUGUGUUAGACGUUGGAAAUUUAUUUUCAGUGUCGCAGCGAAAGCGAUAAACACACCGCCUGGGGAGUACGACCGCAAGGUUAAAACUCAAAUGAAUUGACGGGGACCCGCACAAGUAGUGGAGCAUGUGGUUUAAUUCGAAGAUACGCGCAGAACCUUACCAACACUUGACAUGUUCGUCGCGACUUUAAGAGAUUAAAGUUUUCGGUUCGGCCGGACGAAACACAGGUGCUGCAUGGCUGUCGUCAGCUCGUGUCGUGAGAUGUUGGGUUAAGUCCCGCAACGAGCGCAACCCUCACUUUUAGUUGCCAUCAUUUAGUUGGGCACUCUGAAAGAACUGCCAGUGAUAAGCUGGAGGAAGGUGGGGAUGACGUCAAGUCCUCAUGGCCCUUACGUGUUGGGCUACACACGUGCUACAAUGGUAUCUACAACAGGAAGCAAAACGGCGACGUUAAGCAAAUCCUUAAAAGAUACCUCAGUUCGGAUUGCACUCUGCAACUCGAGUGCAUGAAGCUGGAAUUACUAGUAAUCGUGGAUCAGCGUGCCACGGUGAAUGCGUUCCCGGGUCUUGUACACACCGCCCGUCACACCAUGGGAGUUGGUUCUACCUUAAGGCAAGGUUUAAUACCCUUGACCACGGUAUAGUCAGCGACUGGGGUGAAGUCAUAACAAGGUAACCGUA
Molecule: ribosomal RNA, 1438 nt
Filed under: uncultured bacterium
Lineage: Bacteria
Description: bacterial SSU rRNA
Rfam family: Bacterial small subunit ribosomal RNA
Source: RNAcentral